Molecule: unclassified non-coding RNA, 444 nt
Filed under: uncultured Russula
Lineage: Eukaryota; Fungi; Basidiomycota; Agaricomycetes; Russulales; Russulaceae
Description: sequence contains ITS2
Rfam family: 5.8S ribosomal RNA (bases 1-154)
Source: RNAcentral
AACUUUUGACAAUGGAUCACUUGGUUCUGGCAUCGAUGAAGAACGCAGCGAAAUGCGAUACGUAAUGUGAAUUGCAGAAUUCAGUGAAUCAUCGAAUCUUUGAACGCACCUUGCGCCCCUUGGUAUUCCGAGGGGCACACCCGUUUGAGUGUCGUGAAUACUCUCAACCUUCUUGGUUUCUUUUACCACGAAGGCUUGGACUUUGGAGGUUUUUCUUGCUGGCCUCUUUAGAAGCCAGCUCCUCCUAAAUGAAUGGGUGGGGUCCGCUUUGCUGAUCCUCGACGUGAUAAGCAUUUCUUCUACGUCUCAGUGUCAGCUCGGAACCCGCUUUCCAACCGUCUUUGGACAAAGACAAUGUUCGAGUUGCGACUCGACCUUACAAACCUUGACCUCAAAUCGGGUGAGACUACCCGCUGAACUUAAGCAUAUCAAUAAGCGGAGGCU